This 147-nucleotide small nuclear RNA is filed under the name Sciurus vulgaris (Eurasian red squirrel). RNAcentral's name for it is "U1 spliceosomal RNA (ENSSVLG00005025248.1)". It matches the Rfam family "U1 spliceosomal RNA". From Rfam's summary of the family: U1 is a small nuclear RNA (snRNA) component of the spliceosome (involved in pre-mRNA splicing). Its 5' end forms complementary base pairs with the 5' splice junction, thus defining the 5' donor site of an intron. There are significant differences in sequence and secondary structure between metazoan and yeast U1 snRNAs, the latter being much longer (568 nucleotides as compared to 164 nucleotides in human). Lineage: Eukaryota; Metazoa; Chordata; Mammalia; Rodentia; Sciuridae. The record is from RNAcentral.
AUACUUAUGUGUUGGGGCGAUACCAUGAUUAUCAAAGUGGUUCUCCCAGGAUGAGGCUCAUCCACUGCACUCCUGCGAUUUCCCCAAAUGUGGGAAAUUUGAUCGUAUGAUUUGUCAUAUUCAGGGAUGACAUCAUGCUCUCCCUAU